GUCCACGCCGUAAACGAUGGGCACUAGGUCCUUGGGGAGCGACCCUCUGAGGGCCGGCGCUAACGCAUUAAGUGCCCCGCCUGGGGAGUACGGCCGCAAGGCUGAAACUCAAAGGAAUUGACGGGGCCCGCACAAGCGGUGGAGCAUGUGGUUUAAUUCGACGCAACGCGAAGAACCUUACCUGGGCUUGACAUGCAGGGGAAAGCUGGGGGAAACCUCGGCCCUCCUUCGGGACUCCUGUACAGGUGCUGCAUGGCUGUCGU
RNAcentral lists this ribosomal RNA (263 nucleotides) under uncultured bacterium. RNAcentral's name for it is "partial 16S ribosomal RNA". It matches the Rfam family "Bacterial small subunit ribosomal RNA", at positions 793 to 1055 of the family's 1533-position model. The record is from RNAcentral.